UAGACAGUGUUAAGAUGGGUUCUUAAAAAAUAUGUAUACAACUAAUUUGAUUUAACUGUUUAGCAUUUGAAGUCAUUAGAACUUUUUUUUUUUUUUUUUGUCUUUCCUAGGCCUGGGAACCUCCAUAUGCCCUAGGUGCAGCCCUGAAAAAGCAAACAACCAACCAACAAGAAUAGGGAGACCAAAUCAGGCAGAUACUUGAUAUGCUUGUCCCUUUCACGUAUCCUUUGUUAGGAGAGUGUCACAAGAAAGGCAGGUUCUAGGACGGCUUCUCCUUGAGUCCUGUGGGUUGUGAGUCAGUCUGGGUGCAGCACUGUGCUCACUUUUCCAUCAGCCUGAGAAAACGCUGAGAAAGAAGAGAACCAUGGCCUGAGUUUCCCACUCGCCUCUGUCCCAGCCCCAGCGACAGUUUAUGGAAGACCUUUACCAGUACGUACAGGUGGGAAUCUUGCCUUUUCUCUCCUACCAGAGAUUUCAUACUUACCGAUGCACCAGCUUUCCCCAUAAACUAGCUCCCAGGCCCUGUGAUCACUGCCCUCUCCCUCCCCUCAGCUGCUUUGUUGUUUUGCUGUCUCUGUGAUGGUCCUCAAGACUCAGGUCCAGGGCUGGUCUCCAUCGAGUCUUUCAGUGGAAGCAGAGAAGAGCCAUUUCCCCACAUCCAUUCCUGACCCGUUGUUCCCAGAACGUGGGCCUUGCCAUUGUGGGCACCACCCACUGCUGCUCUGCCAACCCCAGCCCUGCCUUGGGCACGGGCUGACUCCUGUAGGCUUGUGGAGAUCGCGUGCCCUCCUGCCUACGUUUCAGAAGUCAAAGCUCAUUCUUGCUCUUCUUUAUCUUGUCUCUGCAUCAUGGGUGAAUCAGCAUCUGGGCCGACCCAUGGGGCUCGGCUGCUCGUGCUGUAUCUGAGUCUGGACCUGGGACUCAACAGGACCCUAGGUCUCUGACUUUCUAGCCACCAUCACACUUUCUGGCUUCUCCUCCCAGCAUGUUCUGUGUCCUAGCCUGAGAAUCAACUUGGAGGAUGUCUCCAGUGUCUGCCGUGUCCCCCAAGUUAAGUGACUGAGCCUCUCACCAGCCCUGUGUAGGCAGCAGCACUGGUCACUGGCAGGCCUCCCCAGAUUCCUCUCCUGGGGUGUCUGUGUCUUUCAUGCCAUUGGCACCUGGCCAGAGGUAUGUCUCCGGGCAGCCCUCUUCCAUGCACCUGCUGAGGCUCUGGAAAGUGCCUCUUGUUUUCUCCGCUGCCUGGGUUUCCCCCAGGCGAUGGGUUUGGGGGACUGGCUGAGCACUGUAAUAUCCAGAGAGUCCAUGGGGUUUUAACAAGCACAGACUGUCUGGAAAGUGUCUUCAGACUCUUCACACUCCUUUGACUGGAGACCAUGUCUUCAAAAAUCCUCUUCCUUUGCGCCAGAGCUUCAGGGGAGAGGGUGCCCUGCACGCCUCUGGUGUCUUAGGUUCCUGGGAGCAGGAAGACGGGGAUUCAAGAGCACAUGUUUUAUUGAGGGAAAACACUCAGGAGGAGUCUGUGGGAGAGGGAGAGAAGCAGAGAAAAGCAGAAGGAAGGGGCCGAAAAGGAUGCUUUCUGAGGCCAAGGUCAGCUUUGUCCUGCUUCAUUGUGGGGGAUGGUCAAUCCUGUAGCUCAGAUCACAGCCAGGAUGGGUCAGGGGCCAAGGUACUUAUAUUAGUCAGUCAGUCCUUGGACAACCCCAGGCCAUGGGGAACUCAGCCUUCAGGGAGCAGUUCUGAGGACAGAGCCCCUGCUUUAGCCUUGGCAUCUGGGGGAUGUAGUGCCAACUGCCAGGGGAUAUCUGAGCUGGCACUGACUGCAGUGGGAGCUCAGGAAGAAGGAAGCUAAUUCUUACUGAAGGGCUGCUGUGAGCGGGUGUGGGGAGCUUCUGCAUCCAUCUUCUCAUUUAAUUCUUUUUUUUAAUUUAUUUUUUAUUCUUUUUGUCUUUUUAGGGCCACACCUGCAGCAUAUGAAAGUUCCCAGGCUAGGGGUCGCAUUCCCACAGCCACAGCAACACCAGAUCUGAGCCACAUCUGUGACCUACGCCACAGCUCAUGGCAAAGCCGGAUCCUUAACCCACUGAGCGAGGCCAGGGUUAGAACCUGAAUCCUCAUGGAUACUCGUCAGGUUCGUUAACCACUGAGCCAUGGUGGGAACUCUGUUUUUUUUCUUGCUCUUUUUUUUUUUUGGACUUUACGUAUCCUGGAUAUAAAUUUAUUGUUAGUGUUAUAUUUGGUCUAUGGCUUGUCUUUUCUAUUCGAUGGUGGUUAUUUUAAACCUUAAUGCAUCGUAUUUUUCCUCUAUGGUUUGUGUUGUCUGUUUUUCAUAAUAUUUUUCUUCUAGUUUAUUGAGAUAUGAAUGGCAUACAGCACAGUAUAAGUUUAAGGUGUACAGCAU
Molecule: long non-coding RNA, 2401 nt
Filed under: Sus scrofa (pig)
Lineage: Eukaryota; Metazoa; Chordata; Mammalia; Artiodactyla; Suidae
Description: lncRNA (ENSSSCG00025073089.1)
Source: RNAcentral